UAACCAACGACAUGGAUCAAGUGUAGGUAUGUAGCAUGGAAAUAACAUAAAGUGUGGUCAAUAGAAUGUCUAUUUCCAACUGGUUCUCUUUAUUGAGACAAUCAUAAACUGUAAGAGUACCAAAAAACUUUAAAACUGAAUAUCAGCGCAGAUAUAAUUGAAUUACUGAAUUUCUGAAUAUAAUGGACAAUACAUAAAUGUACAAUAAAAACUCCCACUAAAAUACAUAAUCCUUAUCUGAUUUGAUACCCAUACAAGCAAU
Molecule: long non-coding RNA, 262 nt
Filed under: Nicotiana benthamiana
Lineage: Eukaryota; Viridiplantae; Streptophyta; Magnoliopsida; Solanales; Solanaceae
Description: long non-coding RNA (NBEN_LNC032643)
Source: RNAcentral